This 256-nucleotide ribosomal RNA is filed under the name uncultured bacterium. Its description in RNAcentral is "partial 16S ribosomal RNA". It matches the Rfam family "Bacterial small subunit ribosomal RNA", at positions 524 to 775 of the family's 1533-position model. The record is from RNAcentral.
UACGUAGGGUGCAAGCGUUGUCCGGAAUUAUUGGGCGUAAAGAGCUCGUAGGCGGUUUGUCGCGUCGGCUGUGAAAACUCGGGGCUCAACCCCGAGCCUGCAGUCGAUACGGGCAAACUAGAGUGCUGUAGGGGAGACUGGAAUUCCGUGGUGUAGCGGUGAAAUGCGCAGAUAAUCAGGAGGAACACCGGUGGCGAAGGCGGGUCUCGUGGGCCUUACCUGACGCUGGAGGAGCGAAAGCGUGGGGAGCGAACAG